Molecule: ribosomal RNA, 253 nt
Filed under: uncultured bacterium
Lineage: Bacteria
Description: partial 16S ribosomal RNA
Rfam family: Bacterial small subunit ribosomal RNA
Source: RNAcentral
UACGGAGGGUGCGAGCGUUGUCCGGAAUUAUGGGGCGUAAAGAGCUCGUAGGCGGUUUGUCGCGUCUGCUGUGAAAAUCCAGGGCUUAACCCUGGACCUGCAGUGGGUACGGGCAGACUAGAGUGCGGUAGGGGAGAUCGGAAUUCCUGGUGUAGCGGUGAAAUGCGCAGAUAUCAGGAGGAACACCGGUGGCGAAGGCGGAUCUCUGGGCCGUAACUGACGCUGAGGAGCGAAAGCAUGGGGAGCGAACAGG